Sparus aurata (gilthead seabream) is the source of this 1706-nucleotide long non-coding RNA. The record is from Ensembl. Lineage: Eukaryota; Metazoa; Chordata; Actinopteri; Spariformes; Sparidae.
AUUUGCCUUCGUGAUGAGGGUUUAAUCUGUUUUACUAAGUUUGGUCUGAACCUUUGUGUCAGUAUCGACACUGUAUCUAGUUUCAGUUGAGAGAACAGAGCGCCAUCUCUCUCCUCUCACUCCACCUGGUCUCAUUUCUACAUCAACAGUCAUCGUUGGAUUUCUCCCUUCUCUGAGCACAAAAUCAACCCAGCGAGGUCAGAAACAUCAGCCAGUGGAAGAAAAGACAUGAACUCACCUCCGGCUGCAGAGUCUGAAGAACAUCGGUCCAUGUGAAGUCGACGGGAGGGCGAACAAGUGCUCCGCUCUCCCUCAUUCCCACAUUUCAGCUCCGGACGGCUGUGAGAGCAGCGGGGGAGACGUCGAGGCUCCUGCAGGCUCACAGGACCGUCCGGAUCGUGUUUUCCGUCUCUAAUCAUCAUCGCCAUCCUCCUCCUCGUCAUCAUCAUCAUCAUCACCACGGCACAGUCACCGAUUCUUGGUUCCUUCAUCCAACAUUUACGCGCCUGUAAUGUCGGGAGGACACAUCUACCAGGACGGUUUAGGCUGUUGUACUCUGCAGCUGUGUCGUUUUGAUUUCACUUUUGGACGUACACCAAAAAUAAUCGACGCGUAAAAGUCCUUCUUCAUUCGUGCGUAAAAGCUCGUCAAUGAGUGACGCGUUGUGCGUUUCGUCAGUGAGAGCAGGGUAAGUUUUCAGACGCGCUGUUGGCUCCUGUCAGGCGGAGACUUUGGGCAUCUGAGUGAACCUGUUGGAUUAUAAAAACCUCAAUCUGUCACUUUUAGGGGCGACAAGUUUUGGAGAGUCCGGCGCGUCUUCAGCGGAUUUUUUGUUCGGUUUGUUUUUUUGGUUUUUUUGCGCCUUUGUGACCCCGAAGCCCUUUCUGUGGUGAUUACAUGGUCGGAACAAUGUUUUUAUGCAACACGAGUGCCAUUAAGGACUGGAGCUACUUCCUCUCUCAGAUAUUGCCUCUGAUGAAUAAAACUAGCGGCUUGGUGAACAUGAACAAAGCGGAGGACGUGACGACCACCAUGGUGACGGCUCUGCAGCCGGACAGCGCCAUGAGCGCGAGUAACCCGCCUCUCAACUCCAACCAUACCUCGGGCAUGGAGCACGUCUUCCAGUACUCGUACUCGGAGAGCGACCUGCUGUACACGGACUACCGGACCCCGGCACGAGACUCCAUCCCGCUGCCCAAAGCGGUUCUGUACCUGGUGAUGGCGGCGCUGGUGCUCAGUUCCUCUGUGAUGCCGCUCCGCCCAUAAAAAGUCUUUUUAGCAGUAAAAUUAACGUCUCCAUCAGCACUGACCUCCAGAGUAACAGCACUGUUAUCACUUUGUCUCCCUGCAGAGUGGGUGUACAGCUCCCGUCGACUUAACAACCGCAACAAGACCGAGGUUAACUGCAUCACUAACAACAUGAACGAGAUGAGCGAGCUGAGCGAGAGGCCUCGGCCGGUGGACAUGAGCUACAUAUCCCUGAACCACACCAACUGCCUGAGCCCCAGCAGGCCGGAGGAGGUGGUGGUCACCGUGGACGAGACGUUGCAGCAGCGACCUCCCGACACACACUCUGGGACUUAACCGUGACCUGCCGACCUUCUCUGGGAGAAAUACAGCAGCGUGUUUGCUCGCGUUUCUUGUUCAAGUGGAUUUAAAAGUCUUUCAUGAAUCAAAGCUCUAUCCACUGUUUUAUCACCUGCAGG